GCGCUAAUGAGAUUUUAAAAUGUCUCCUGUAACACAUCUACAAUACAUAUAGCUAACAUAGAAGUUAUGUAUAGUGUAUAGUAAGUGUUAAAAUACUUUCGUGAGCCACUGUACGUUAGGUAACAUAGUAGAAAAUUUCCAAAAUGGAACGUGUGCUUCUAGCUUUAGUCGUUUGAGCGUUGAAUUGUUUGGUAAGGUAUAACUUGCAUUUCCUUUGCAUUUAAUCCCGUCAAUUACAUAACAGAGCUGCGACGACCGGAAGCGCUGCUUAAGAAGCGUCAGCCAAAGAGUCAAGGUUUCUUUCAAUAUAUUGUACCUUAAUAUAAAGGCAACAACGAUAAAAUGAUUGUGCAAUACAAAUAUAUAUAUAUAUGUAUAUAUAUCUCAUCGAACUUCGAUGUUUCUUAACUUUGUUUUUCUUGUUCGUCUCUUUUAAAGAAUACAACGAAGAAAAUAUUCCCGCUGGAGUUUGAAACUGAAAGUUCUUACGAGAUCACAGGAAAUCACGAUUUUACAAACGGCGAUCACGAUAAACA
Molecule: long non-coding RNA, 536 nt
Organism: Bombus pascuorum
Lineage: Eukaryota; Metazoa; Arthropoda; Insecta; Hymenoptera; Apidae
Exons: 3
Source: RefSeq, a predicted model, not a curated record